RNAcentral lists this unclassified non-coding RNA (348 nucleotides) under soil metagenome. RNAcentral's name for it is "partial contains 5.8S ribosomal RNA, internal transcribed spacer 2, and large subunit ribosomal RNA". The stretch from base 1 to 120 matches the Rfam family "5.8S ribosomal RNA", at positions 35 to 154 of the family's 154-position model. The record is from RNAcentral.
GAUGAAGAACGUAGCGAAAUGCGAUAAGUAAUGUGAAUUGCAGAAUUCCGUGAAUCAUCGAGUCUUUGAACGCACAUUGCGCCCCCUGGUAUUCCGGGGGGCAUGCCUGUCCGAGCGUCAUUGCUGCCCUCAAGCACGGCUUGUGUGUUGGGCCCCGCCCCCCGGCUCCCGGGGGGCGGGCCCGAAAGGCAGCGGCGGCACCGCGUCCGGUCCUCGAGCGUAUGGGGCUUCGUCACCCGCUCCGUAGGCCCGGCCGGCGCCCGCCGGCGACCCCCCUCAAUCUUUUCAGGUUGACCUCGGAUCAGGUAGGGAUACCCGCUGAACUUAAGCAUAUCAAUAAGCGGAGGA